GGGGAGGAUUUUGCUGGAAUGAAUGGGAGUGUUUAACUGUAUUGUACAUGUUUGAUUGGCUGUGCCACAAAACCAUGUGGGUGGUAACAUUGUGUAAAAAGUUGCAUAUAGGUGCCAAUAAACCCUCAGACUGCUGAGUUCCUGUUUUGACACUCAACAUAAAGUCUUGUCUCAUGAUUGGGGAAAAGGCUGCAUUUACACUGGGGGAUUGCUA
Molecule: non-coding RNA, 214 nt
Organism: Pelobates cultripes (western spadefoot toad)
Lineage: Eukaryota; Metazoa; Chordata; Amphibia; Anura; Pelobatidae
Source: the annotation of a GenBank genome assembly